This 74-nucleotide transfer RNA is filed under the name Acidobacteriota bacterium. Its description in RNAcentral is "tRNA-Arg". It matches the Rfam family "tRNA". Rfam says of the family: Transfer RNA (tRNA) molecules are approximately 80 nucleotides in length. Their secondary structure includes four short double-helical elements and three loops (D, anti-codon, and T loops). Lineage: Bacteria; Pseudomonadati; Acidobacteriota. The record is from RNAcentral. RNAcentral also lists the same sequence under 2 other names.
GCUCCCGUAGCUCAGUAGGAUAGAGCGUUCGCCUCCUAAGCGAAAGGUCGCUGGUUCGAAUCCAGCCGGGAGCA